GACAGAGGGUGCAAACGUUGCUCGGAAUUACUGGGCGUAAAGCGCGUGUAGGUGGAUUGGUGUGUCAGAUGUGGAAUCCCUGGGCUCAACCCAGGAACUGCACCUGAAACUACCAGUCUUGAGUGGUGGAGAGGGAAGUGGAAUUCCUGGUGUAGAGGUGAAAUUCGUAGAUAUCGGGAGGAACACCGGUGGCGAAGGCGGCGACCUGGGUAGAUACUGACGCUGAGGUGCGAAAGCGUGGGGAGCAAACAGG
RNAcentral lists this ribosomal RNA (253 nucleotides) under uncultured bacterium. Its description in RNAcentral is "partial 16S ribosomal RNA". It matches the Rfam family "Bacterial small subunit ribosomal RNA", at positions 524 to 776 of the family's 1533-position model. The record is from RNAcentral.